UCUCCUCGGGCCGCCCCGACGGGGGCUUCUCCAGCAUCUUGGUGCCGGGCUUGAAGCAGACGCCCCCGGCCUUGGUGCGGACGAAGUACUCGGUGGUGUCCUCGGGCAGCACGAAGUCCAUGCGGUGGAGCUCCUCCGCGGCCUUGCUGGGCGACAGCGGCUGCAGCAGGGGCGAGUCGGAGUAGAGGGGGGUGCGCAGCAGGUCCGGGCCGCCCGGCUCCUGGCUGGCCUGGGGCGUGACGGGGGCAUUGUUCCAGAAGAAGCUGGACACGAGGUUAGGGCUGAGGGAGGCCAGUUCUCGGGGGAAGGUGACAUAGGACAAGGUCUUAAAGAAAUGCAGGAAGGAGAUGAGGCACAGCCCAGCCAUACAGAACAGGAGGAAGAGCUUGUAGCGUCUCAUCUUCAUCCUGCAGGACAGAGGGAGAGAGCACACGGGUCAGGGGACUGCAGACCUGGCCGCGGACGCCCAGGAGGACUUUGUGAAUAUCCUGCUUGUCAGAGAAGUCGCCAAGAUGGCCCAGAGGUCCCCGCACCCGCCUGGUCCGGCACAGCGAGGCUCUGUCUCCAUCACCCCUGUGUCUCUGUCACAGGUCGGAAGCCCAACGGGCAGGCGCUUGCUUUACCCCCACAGACUGUUUCAGCAAUGCACCCGGGCAGCGGGGCGCUCCCGAAGCUCUGAGAACAGCAGGACAGAGUGGAGAGACACAGGCUUGGCUUCAGACUGCUGUGGCCUCCAGCCAGGCCCCUCACCACUCGGGACCUCCAUGUCUACAUCUCUGAGAUGGGCACAGAGGUAUGGGGUAUGGUGGGUGCCCCCUAACCCUGGAUCCUUUCACGGUGGGAGCCUGGACUGCUCCAGUGUCUGAGCCACCUGCUCAUCAAGUGUGGCACCUGAAGUGCUGGCUGCAAGCACACUGUAGGGCCAGUACUGUCAGUUUAUAGAGGCAGAAACCAGGACCAAGGGGGCUUCAGGGGUCUGCUGGGUUCCAAAGCUGGGGUGGGCACCUGGGUGCCUACUCCCCCAAGUCCUAACAAGCUAGUGAGGGAACAGUGGGGGUUGCCCUUCCCACCAGCCAGGUCCUGCUGUCUGGUCCAGGGCAUCCCACCUCCUCUGGCUUGCAUGCCUGCCUCCAGAACUGCUCACGGUGGCUGGCAUGGCUGGCUGCAGCAGUGGGCAGGACAACCCAGGUGGAGACAUGACUCCUCAAAUGGGACCUGUUCCAGGACAGAGGGGGUGGGCAGGAGGAGGGGCUGCUCCUACCCCACAUUUGCAGCAGGUCUUCCAGGCUCCUCUCUGCUGCAGACCCCAGCCGGUGCCAGCAGAGCAAGACCAGGCAGACCAGCCAGCAGGGUCACACUGCCCCAGCUGCCCCUUGACUGCCCAAACAGACUGGUUUUCAGGAUCUGGUUACACCCGCCAGCUGGGCCUUUUGGAGGUAAGACUGCAGAGCCUGGGAGCGCCCCGACUCACAGGGGCCUCUGGGUGUCUUGAUGAGGCUCUGGCCGGGCUUGCUACAGGGAUUCAUGGAGCUGGGCAGGCCUCCCUUUCACCAAGGGCCCUGGGGGGCUUUAAAUGCACACCGUGGUUGGCCUGGAGCAAGUCAGUACCUCGAGGCCACAUUUGGGGGACACCUUCAUUCAUGGCUGCUUGUAGUGUUUCAGCUCUUCUUGGUCUGAUGCCUUUUUAUCUUAUCUUCAUCUGUCUUGGUGAGUGCUUCAGAUACAGCGUUUGAUGGAGUGGCAUACAAGAGGGAACAGUGAACAAACAGCAUUGGCACCCAAGGCCUCAGUGAAGCCUUUCAACCAUCCCGCGAGGGCCUUGGAACUCUCCUUACAACCCAUAGAGAGGGGGAAGCAAGACUCACAAAGACAUUAAGAAGGUGGCCGAGUCGGACUCGGACUAGGUUCUGAGGGAACGCCGCUCCCUCCCUCCUGACAGCUGAGGCAGCAGGCUGUGGGCCACCCUGCGUUGCUCUGCCUCUGUCACCAAGCGCUACCGAGCAGCCACCCGCGAGACAGACACGAGCCGCUGCUCCUGAACACGCUGCCCCUGCUGGGAGGCUAGGGCCGGUCUGCAGGAGGAAUGUCCCAGGCAGAAGGAAGCAGGAAGGCUAGACCACACGGGGCCUGCCACCAUGGGCACAGCUGGCCAUGUGGUUUCCACGGGAGGGAAGCAGCUCUGCCUGUGGCCGGAGCCCAGACCGCUCUCCAGCCCCCUUCCUGGCCGCCCCAGGCGGCACUGAACAGUCUUCUGGGUUCAAGAGGUCACUGUGAACUUGAGCCUCAAGGUCAUUAUCCUCUGAACCUCGGCUCCUCCCUCCCUAAAUGGAUGUCCUAGUCCUGCCUUGCUCAGUUCAAAUAAGACCGCAAAUCAGACGUUCCAGCGCU
This is an RNA transcript of Talpa occidentalis (Iberian mole), 2388 nucleotides long. RefSeq lists it as uncharacterized. Lineage: Eukaryota; Metazoa; Chordata; Mammalia; Eulipotyphla; Talpidae. The transcript has 4 exons. The record is from RefSeq and is a predicted model, not a curated record.